This 300-nucleotide ribosomal RNA is filed under the name uncultured Hyphomicrobiales bacterium. RNAcentral's name for it is "bacterial SSU rRNA". It matches the Rfam family "Bacterial small subunit ribosomal RNA", at positions 114 to 430 of the family's 1533-position model. Lineage: Bacteria; Pseudomonadati; Pseudomonadota; Alphaproteobacteria; Hyphomicrobiales. The record is from RNAcentral.
CACGUGGGAACGUACCCUUCGGUUCGGAAUAACUCAGGAACGUUGAGCUAAUACCGGAUACGUCCGAGAGGAGAAAGAUUCAUCGCCGAAGGAUCGGCCCGCGUCUGAUUAGCUAGUUGGUGAGGUAAUGGCUCACCAAGGCGACGAUCAGUAGCUGGUCUGAGAGGAUGAUCAGCCACAUUGGGACUGAGACACGGUUCCAGACUCUUACGGGAGGCAGCAGUGGGGAAUUUUCCGCAAUGGGCGAAAGCCUGACGGAGCAAUACCGCGUGAGGGAUGACGGCCUAUGGGUUGGUAAAC